This is a non-coding RNA of Heterocephalus glaber (naked mole-rat), 1129 nucleotides long. NCBI's taxonomy places the organism in Eukaryota, Metazoa, Chordata, Mammalia, Rodentia, Bathyergidae. The record is from RefSeq and is a predicted model, not a curated record.
CUCUGAAAAAUCCCAGGGCUCAGGCCACAAUAACAAUAGCCUGAAUACUGGCACAGGUGUGUAAUGAAUGGUUUGAAGCUUCCUCUGUGGAGUGAGACUCACUCGUUCAACUGCUUCUUGAGCAAGAUGUCUGUGGUAGGUAGAAUAAUGCUUCUCCAGUAGUGUUCACAUCUUAAGCUCUGAAAUUUGUGAAUAUGUUACCUCAGUGGUCAAAAGGAACUUUGCAGAUAAGAUUAUGAUAAAGAUCUUGAGAUGAGGAGGUUAUCCUGAAUUAUCCAAGGGGAUCUUCAUAUAAUCACCUGGUCCUUAAAAUAGAAAGGGCAAAAGUGUCAGAGUCAUAGAAGAUAUGAUGACAGAAACAGAAGAUCAGAGUCAGAGGGAUAUGAAGAUCCUCUUUGAGACAGAGAAAGAGACCACAAGCCAAGAAAUGAAGGCACCCAAUGGAAACUGGAGAAAGGCAAGCAAAAGGAUGCUCCCCUAAAGCUACCAGAGUGGGAACAGCCCUGCCAACAUCUUGACCUUGGCUCAGUGAAAUCCGUGUUGAACUUCUCACUUCUGAGUUUCUGGGACCUCCCUUGGCUGGGGCCAGGGAGAGGAAGAAAUCAGGAAGGAUCAAGGCCAAGUACUUCAUGAAAUGGACAAGUGAAGAAAAAAUAAGUUGUCUACAUCUCAGCAUUUAAAGGGAUUCAGCAUCACAGGUGCAUCCAAUCCAUACAGGCAAGAAGCCUCUUCCAUCAGCCCUGCCAGCUGAGGAUAGAAGAAAGUGGACAAGCAUCCCUCAGAACCUUCUCAGUGUGUCACCCAAGCACAUAAGACCUGGGAUGUCCGUAACAAAGCUGUCCUCCCUCCAGUAGUUACAGCCAAGAUUCCUGUCCCUCAGCGCUUCUGGGCCUAGACACAUGUCCUCCAGAGAGCCUUACUUCUGGAGGAAAAACAUUUACCUGAUGUGGUUUGUGUGGGCUCCCUAGAGCUCCCAAUUAGCUGAGCAGGAAAGAGCUCUGAUAAUUUGUUGAGUUUACUGCAUUGCUUCUGGGAAAAAGGAACAUUUGCCCACAUUGAUUACCAGAUCCCAUUGUUGUUGCACUUGGGGUAGAUCUGCAUCUGAGGAGUCCCCGGGAAGAAGCCAGCA